UACGUAGGGCGCAAGCGUUGUCCGGAAUUAUUGGGCGUAAAGAGCUCGUAGGCGGUUUGUCGCGUCUGUCGUGAAAGCUUGGGGCUUAACCCCAAGUCUGCGGUGGAUACGGGCAGACUAGAGGCAGGUAGGGGAGAACGGAAUUCCCGGUGUAGCGGUGAAAUGCGCAGAUAUCGGGAGGAACACCGGUGGCGAAGGCGGUUCUCUGGGCCACUACUGACGCUGAGAAGCGAAAGCAUGGGGAGCGAACAGG
This 253-nucleotide ribosomal RNA is filed under the name uncultured bacterium. Its description in RNAcentral is "partial 16S ribosomal RNA". It matches the Rfam family "Bacterial small subunit ribosomal RNA", at positions 524 to 776 of the family's 1533-position model. The record is from RNAcentral.